GGGCCAGAUAGAGAGAGGGUAGAAACGAAAAGGACACUUUUGCAAAUGAAGUUUUAUAACUUUGCCCGUCGAUUUGGAAGUCAGUGAAACAGUUGGGAGUGUGAGUGAGCUGCAGGGUUGUAAAAUGCGACAAAAUGGAACGAAAUUAAAUGCAUUUUGAAAAAUGAUAAAGUUGUUGCCGACGUGGCCGACAGACAUAGCAUUUAAAAAAGUGUCUAGAAAUGCAGAAGCAGUAGGCAAAAAAAGCAGAUAUAAAGUAAUUGUCAUAGUGAAGGUACUCCAUUGAGCCAUACAUAUACUUUAACUUUUUACCUCUGAACGGCACUUCCCACCUACCAUUCAAGUGCGACAUUUGCAAUGCAUAUACAACGGCAUUGUACUUACCUGAAAGAGAAAUAAGACAUUUAUAAUUAGAAUAGAAGAAGUAAAGAAUUUCUUUGUGACUCUUAUAAGUUUAUACAUUAAAAUCGUGUGGAAGGGAGCGGGAGCUAAGGGUUGACGCUGGCUGCCAGGACUGUCGUGCUUUUCAAUUCAAGCGUCAAGAAUAUAUUCACGCAAAUAGCGCCAGCAAAUUAACAUGAAAAACUGAAAAAACAUUUUUCGCAAAGCAAAAAUAAUUAUGUAUAUAUGUAAGCAUGUAUGU
Drosophila hydei is the source of this 643-nucleotide long non-coding RNA. RefSeq lists it as uncharacterized. The record is from RefSeq and is a predicted model, not a curated record. The transcript is spliced from 3 exons. Lineage: Eukaryota; Metazoa; Arthropoda; Insecta; Diptera; Drosophilidae.